GAGUCGUUGGCGGUCAGCCUAUUCAACGGUGACACGGACGAACAAUCGAGCAGCCCCUGCCAGGAGGAGGCUGAGGCGCGAUUGAAAGAGUCUGUGGAAGACAUUCCAGAGAGUCCAACCUGUUUUGACUCUUCACCCAGUAGGAAAAGAACAUCAACAAAGGUAUAUGAAGGCAUUAUUCUGGAACGUCAUAUCUUCCAGUUAUGACAUUGUCAAGUUAUGUCGAGGUAGCUUUCUUCAAUGGGCAAGUUCAUGCAAAAUAAAAAAUAAAAUAAAAAAAAAAAGUCUAAAUGACAAGUACCGCGGUGACCAGAUAGAAAACUGCUCUUGCUAUGAGUCAUGAUACAGUGAAUU
This is a long non-coding RNA of Hippocampus comes (tiger tail seahorse), 354 nucleotides long. RefSeq lists it as uncharacterized. The record is from RefSeq and is a predicted model, not a curated record. NCBI's taxonomy places the organism in Eukaryota, Metazoa, Chordata, Actinopteri, Syngnathiformes, Syngnathidae. The transcript is spliced from 2 exons.